GGAGGAUCCAAGCGUUAUCCGGAAUCAUUGGGUUUAAAGGGUCCGUAGGCGGUUUAAUAAGUCAGUGGUGAAAGCCCAUCGCUCAACGGUGGAACGGCCAUUGAUACUGUUGGACUUGAAUUAUUAGGAAGUAACUAGAAUAUGUAGUGUAGCGGUGAAAUGCUUAGAGAUUACAUGGAAUACCAAUUGCGAAGGCAGGUUACUACUAAUUGAUUGACGCUGAUGGACGAAAGCGUGGGUAGCGAACAGGAUUAGAUACCCUGGUAGUCCACGCCGUAAACGAUGGAUACUAGCUGUUGGAAGCAAUUUCAGUGGCUAAGCGAAAGUGAUAAGUAUCCCACCUGGGGAGUACGUUCGCAAGAAUG
Molecule: ribosomal RNA, 365 nt
Filed under: uncultured bacterium
Lineage: Bacteria
Description: bacterial SSU rRNA
Rfam family: Bacterial small subunit ribosomal RNA
Source: RNAcentral